RNAcentral lists this non-coding RNA (27 nucleotides) under Rattus norvegicus (Norway rat). The record is from RNAcentral. Lineage: Eukaryota; Metazoa; Chordata; Mammalia; Rodentia; Muridae.
CACUAGGUGAAUGAUCUGUACUACCAC